GUCCACGCCAUAAACUAUGGAUACUAGAUGUUCGAGGAGUUAACCCCUUGAGUAUCAAAGCUAACGCAUUAAGUAUCCCGCCUGGGAAGUACGGCCGCAAGGCUAAAAACUCAAAGGAAUUGACGGGGCCCGCACAAGAGGUGGAGUAUGUGGUUCAAUUCGAAGCAACGCGCAGAACCUUACCUGGGUUUGACAUCCCUUGAUUGCUAUAGAGAUAUAGAGUUCCCUUCGGGACAAGGUGACAAGUGCUGCAUGGCUGUCGU
RNAcentral lists this ribosomal RNA (263 nucleotides) under uncultured bacterium. RNAcentral describes it as "partial 16S ribosomal RNA". It matches the Rfam family "Bacterial small subunit ribosomal RNA", at positions 793 to 1055 of the family's 1533-position model. The record is from RNAcentral.